RNAcentral lists this ribosomal RNA (428 nucleotides) under Vibrio parahaemolyticus. RNAcentral's name for it is "partial 23S ribosomal RNA". It matches the Rfam family "Bacterial large subunit ribosomal RNA", at positions 197 to 675 of the family's 2925-position model. Lineage: Bacteria; Pseudomonadati; Pseudomonadota; Gammaproteobacteria; Vibrionales; Vibrionaceae. The record is from RNAcentral.
AACAUCUAAGUACCCCGAGGAAAAGAAAUCAACCGAGAUUCCGAAAGUAGCGGCGAGCGAAAUUGGACUAGCCCUUAAGCUUUACACGCGUUAGACGAACGGUCUGGAAAGUCCGACGAUACAGGGUGAUAGUCCCGUAGUUGACGACGUGUGUUCAGUGAAAUCGAGUAGGGCGGGACACGUGAUAUCCUGUCUGAAUAUGGGGGGACCAUCCUCCAAGGCUAAAUACUACUGACUGACCGAUAGUGAACCAGUACCGUGAGGGAAAGGCGAAAAGAACCCCUGUGAGGGGAGUGAAAUAGAACCUGAAACCGUGUACGUACAAGCAGUAGGAGCAGGCUUUGUCCUGUGACUGCGUACCUUUUGUAUAAUGGGUCAGCGACUUAUAUUCAGUGGCAAGGUUAACCAUCUAGGGGAGCCGUAGGGAA